GUGUGGUCGACGGUGAUCCGACGCCAAUUUGGUUGUGCCGCGGGUUGCUAUGAAGGUGGAAAGAAGAGGGUUAGAGAGAAAGAAGAGAAGACUUGGAUAGAGGGUGAAUUAAUUGGGGAUUUGAAAAACAAUUUUAGCUUCAACUCCACUUCCUCACAGUUCAACAACUUAAAUCGUGAAACUCAUGGGGUAUCGUCGCCGACUACGGCAGCCGUGUACUUCCGUCCGCCGGCCUGUGCAGUUCUGUCCGCCAGUCUGUGAACAUCAUCUAGCCCGUUCUAUUCGCGAGUCUUCACAACUCUUCUUGACAUCAAAGUGGUAGACAAGUUCAAUUAACACGAGGAAGUAUGCUUAGUCUUUGAUGGGGUAGCUAGCCAUCAUAGCUAUGCCACAAGUACCUUGCUUGUCGGUUGAAUCACGCAUCAUUCUUAUGUAACCUGAUUCACCCCAGCUAGUGCCCCAUGAAUUUUUGACAAGCCAAUAAGCUUGAUUGCUAUCUUCCCCGUACCCAACUAUUGCCACUCCAUGAUUCAGUUGCUUUCCACAAUUGCCUGAGAAGAUUCCACCCGAAUAGAACUGAAAAUCGUUCCCCCCUGCAUCAAUUGCUACAGAGACUGGCUGUUUAGCUACUGCUGCUUGUAAGCUUUUCUCGUCGUUGACAGGUACUUUUUCAUAUCCACUUAUUGACACAGACUGGUAUUUCUCUUUUUGUUUGUCGCAUGCAGAUCUAGUUGCUGUGUAUGGAUAUUCUAAUUCUGUAGUUAGUCCAGUUUUCUUGAUGAACUCAAAUGCUUUGUACAUGUAACCACCAUUGCAUCCCUGGUUCCCCGAGGUCACAUCGCAGUCUACAAGCUCUUGUUCUGAAAGAGACAUUAAUUUCCCUGCUUUUAUUUUGUUGAUGCCUUCGACUGCUGCUACUGCAGAGAAUGCCCAGCAGCUCCCUAUGUCGAAAAUUCAAGACUCGUAAGUUUUUCCAAAUAUGACGAAAUGACUUACAAUCAAUAGAGGUUACGGUGUAGGGUACUAGUUAGGAAAAAAAACUCAUAAUCAGACGUAAAGAGAACAUGUUCUACGUAUUUCUGAUUAGUUGGAUGAAUGAGAGUAUUACGAGUUCGUACCACAUUGGCCUUGAUUCUUUAUCGGAGUAACUGCACCUUCCUUUCUCCAAUCAACAUUAGUAGGCAGAUUAACCAUAUUUCCAUAUCUGAAGAAUGUAUCAGUAUCAGGAAGCGAAACAGUUUCAUACCCCAAGUAAGUUGCCAUAAACUCCUCAUUUGUGAGAUCUGUAAAGUUAUUUUCGGCCAGAGUAUAUGAAUGAUUCAGAGAAUUGAAAUUGUCAAUGUACUGAACAUUUGCCUGAUAAAUUGUGAAUCUCUGCUCCCAUUCUUCUCUGCUCUUGUAUUGUCUACCGUAUUUAUCCAUCCAUUUCUGGUACCUGUCUUGUAAUUCACCGGAAUUACUAGAUCCCGAAGGGUAGUCCAUUGCCAUGGAUACCCGUGUGGGUGUCCAGAAAACCCAGAGAAUCAGAGAAAUCAAACUCACACUCCAAAUCAUUUUAUAUGCUUCCAUGGCCGCUUUCAGAUUGCAAAUCGAGCCAAGUAUGUUUCAUUCUCAACAUCGAAUUCUAGUUAUAUAUUGAUCCAUUCUUAACUGUAGGAGGACGAAGUUUGGAUACUUAAGAAAUUCUUGGAUUCAUGUACUUCACACCUUGAAGUUUCUGUUGGGGGUUAAUCUGUUAUUUCCAUCUUUCCAGCACGGCAGAAAAAGGUGGAAGCUUGCCGGCUUAAAACUCUUGGAUUCUUCAUUACUAUCUGGGUAAUUAAGAAAGAAGUAAACUUGGAUAUAUUUCUUGUAAAUAAUAGAAAAAAUUGAAUAUAAAUGCAAUAUAGGUAGGCCAUGUGUGUUGUUAAUCCCAAAUGAUAAAUGUUAUGCAAGACCUUAAAACUCAUACAAUAAAUUUGACUCUAAAAAUUAAUAAAAUAACAUGAUGUUAAUAUAUUUUCUAAAUUUCUAAAUUGGAUGUUAACAGAAUUUAAAUAUUUAUUUUUUAAGAUGAAAACUCAUGACUAAAGCUUGUCAUUUUAAAAUAUAUGAAUCACAAUAGAAUUAAACUUAAAAAAAAAAAAAAGACAAGAUCAAAAUAAUAUUUUAACAAAAAAAAAAAACAAGUAAAUAAAUAAACUAAACUAAAGUGUAUGUUCCUUUACUCGACUUGGAAUAAGGUUGCUCAUGCUCGUGUAUAUAAGCUAAGCUUGACUUUUUAGUGAUAUAUUUAAUAGCGUUUCUUUACCUAAUGUGGGCUAAAAUCGCUUCUUAUCUUUUGGACAUUUGGUUUCCAGCUAGGGUAGCCUCGGUUUUAUUUGAGGAUUUCUCUCGUGUUUAGUCUGCUUGCCAUUGUAAAGAAAAAAACUAAAGCUAGGGAAUUAAGCUCAAAAUAAGUUUGUUCUUAUCAACAGUUCUCUCCAAAGGUUCAAUUAUUCCUCCCUUCACAUUCUUUUAUUAAAACAAAAACUAGGAAACUAAUCUUUAGUCUUUGGUUUGAAGGAAACUGUCCUCAAGAUGGUCCAAUUUUAAUUCCUUUUUCUUUUAGGAGGUGCACUCUUGAUCAUUGUUACAAUUAAAGGAAACAGAUAUGAACCAUGUUUUCCACUUAUUCUGCAUAAAAUAUUUGCAAAUAGAAAACAAACCACAUGACCUUUUCCUCUAAUAGAAAGAGUAGAAAAAAGUACUAAUUUUAGCAUUCAAUUUUCUAAAUUUAAAAAAUAAUCAUAGUCCUAUAAAACUCCACUUUUUUCUUCUCCUCAAACAAUCAUCCUCUCGCCAAAAAUAAAAUUUUAAAAAAGUUGUAAUAAAGAAAAAGAAACACUGCAAACUUAAAAAUAAAAUGGCGAACAAGAAGAUGAUGGCAGUGUUUCUCUUGUGUAUUCUGGUGGUGGCUGCAUUUGAAAUCUCCAUUGUUGCCGCGGGCGAGGAGGGUAACGUUAUCCCGAGGAAAAAGUCACUUUUUUCCAAAAUCUACGAUAAAUUGCACAUCGAUAUGCCCAAUAAUUGAUAAUUGAGGAUAAACGAAGAAAGAAGAGUUCUCAAGACUAAUGAUGGGGUUAAUGUAAAUGGUGGUGUAUAAUUUAUUUUGAAUCAUUUUUUUUUUUCCUUUAUGAGAGGAAUUUCUGGGCCUCUUUGUCCUCUUUCAUUUUUAUUUUAUAGCAAUCUCUUUGUUUCAUUAAUAGAAGUCAAAAAAAAAAAAAAAAAAGAAGUUGGGCUUUUGCCUUUUUGGUAAUGUUUGUAUUUCCGUUUUUUCUCCCACCAUUGUUCUUUGCUAAAUUUAUUUAAUUGAAGUGAAAAUAUUCAACUUUUGCAUA
Molecule: long non-coding RNA, 3359 nt
Organism: Cucumis melo (muskmelon)
Lineage: Eukaryota; Viridiplantae; Streptophyta; Magnoliopsida; Cucurbitales; Cucurbitaceae
Exons: 4
Source: RefSeq, a predicted model, not a curated record